Passer domesticus (house sparrow) is the source of this 1198-nucleotide long non-coding RNA. RefSeq lists it as uncharacterized. The record is from RefSeq and is a predicted model, not a curated record. The transcript is spliced from 3 exons. NCBI's taxonomy places the organism in Eukaryota, Metazoa, Chordata, Aves, Passeriformes, Passeridae.
UUGUGAUAAUAUCCUUUCUCCUGCACCCUACCUUUCUGAUACUCUAGCUGAGAGUAAACCAAGGUCGCCACCAUUUUCUCUGAAGAAUCUAACACCAUGACAAAAAAAAUCCAAAAUUGCUUGGUCCAUUUACAAAAAAGCUUUUAUCUGUGAACUCUCCCAACAUUUUUCUUUUAUAUUCUGUGAAAGAUUCAAUUUUCUGCUAUAAAAAGGCACAAAGAAAAGCAUAUAGCAUAACUGCAGCCCUUCUAAAGGCUUUUCAUGCUGGAUGGUGUGGGGGUAGGUUGAAAUAGGGUAGAGGGAGUGAAGAUGAAGAGCAAAGCCUCCCUUUUGAACCAAUGGGACUAUAAGCUGGGAGAGACCAGUGGUAUUCACAUAUUCUUUGAUCAGAGAGAGUCUUAAUUCUUCCCAGGAUUUUCCUGAGAAGCUGUGAGAAAGAUCAAGGAAAAACAAUUCUUGUCUUCACUUGCUGCAUCUGUUGUUUAGCACAUGUGGAAUAUGUUAUGGAGAUUGAUUCCCAAAAGGUCGUUUCUUAAUUGGACACUGGUGAGGGGUGUUUUAAUUGAUUGACCAAUUAGGUCAAAGCUGUGUUGUGACUGACUGUAAGGGUCACGGCUUUUUUUCUUUAGUAUAGUAUAGCACAGAGUUAGUGUAGUAUAGUAUAGUAUAGUAUAGCUUAAUAAGGCAUUUGUUCAGCCUUCUGAAAUCAUGGAGUCAAGGCACUUUACUCCCUACCACAAUAAGGGCUAGCAAAGGUUUGGAGGAGCAGAGGUGCCAUGUUCUGGUGGACCCCUAGUAACGUUGGGCAUGGAGAAAUCAAGCUGCUGUGCAGUGGACUCAAAGCACCUGAGGGGAAGGAAUUGCACAGCCUGGCUCUGUGCAAUUCUCCAGCCAGGAUGAAGGACUUUAUCUGGGCUUGUUUACUGGAAAAGAAGGUAACUGUGGAUUGGAUUGGAUUGGAAAAGAACAUGGUUUUUCAGCCAGCAGGGAAGACUUCCAUUUACAGAAUAAAUGGAGAUACAUUAGAAAUAGCACACUUGAACAGCAAUGAAGGUGCAACAUCAAAAAGGUAUCACAGGAUAGAAGGUUCUGAGAUGCUACCAGGAGGCCUAGGACCCCAAGACUGACACCUGGUACAAGUUUCUGGAAUCAUUACAGUAAGACGCAUUCCCAGAAGCAUGUGGGAUUCAAACCUUGG